RNAcentral lists this ribosomal RNA (371 nucleotides) under uncultured bacterium. RNAcentral's name for it is "bacterial SSU rRNA". It matches the Rfam family "Bacterial small subunit ribosomal RNA", at positions 28 to 416 of the family's 1533-position model. The record is from RNAcentral.
GAUGAACGCUGGCGGCGUGCCUUAAGCAUGCAAGUCGAACGACGUGAUCGCAAGAUUUACGAGUGGCGGACGGGUGAGUAACACGUGGGAAUCUACCCUAAAGUGCAGGAUAACUAGCCGAAAGGUUAGCUAAUACUGCAUGUGAACGAAAGUUUAAAGCUCUUAACUGGGCGCUUUAGGAGGAGCCUGCGGUCUAUCAGCUAGUUGGUGAGGUAAAGGCUCACCAAGGCACGACGGAUAGCUGGUCUGAGAGGACGGACAGCCACAAUGGCACUGAGACACGGGCCAUACACCUACGGGUGGCAGCAACUGGGAAUCUUCCACAAUGGGCGAAAGCCUGAUGGAGCGACGCCGCGUGAAGGAUGAAGGCC